Molecule: ribosomal RNA, 481 nt
Filed under: uncultured bacterium
Lineage: Bacteria
Description: bacterial SSU rRNA
Rfam family: Bacterial small subunit ribosomal RNA
Source: RNAcentral
GAACGCUAGCGGCAGGCUUAAUACAUGCAAGUCGUGGGGCAGCAUGAGUAGCAAUACUUGAUGGCGACCGGCAAACGGGUGAGGAACACGUACACAACCUUCCUUCAAGCGGGGAAUAGCCCAGAGAAAUUUGGAUUAAUACCCCAUAAUAUAUUUGAUAAGGCAUCUUAUUAAUAUUAAAGCUUCGGCACUUGAUGAUGGGUGUGCGGCUGAUUAGAUAGUUGGCGGGGUAACGGCCACCAAGUCUACGAUCAGUAGCUGAUGUGAGAGCAUGAUCAGCCACACGGGCACUGAGACACGGGCCCGACUCCUACGGGAGGCAGCAGUAAGGAAUAUUGGACAAUGGACGAAAGUCUGAUCCAGCCAUGCCGCGUGAAGGAUUAAGGUCCUCUGGAUUGUAAACUUCUUUUAUAUGGGACGAAAAAAGGGCAUUCUUGCUCACUUGACGGUACCAUAUGAAUAAGCACCGGCUAACUCCGUG